RNAcentral lists this ribosomal RNA (1547 nucleotides) under Salmonella enterica subsp. enterica serovar Paratyphi C. RNAcentral describes it as "bacterial SSU rRNA". It matches the Rfam family "Bacterial small subunit ribosomal RNA". The record is from RNAcentral. Lineage: Bacteria; Pseudomonadati; Pseudomonadota; Gammaproteobacteria; Enterobacterales; Enterobacteriaceae.
AAAUUGAAGAGUUUGAUCAUGGCUCAGAUUGAACGCUGGCGGCAGGCCUAACACAUGCAAGUCGAACGGUAACAGGAAGCAGCUUGCUGCUUUGCUGACGAGUGGCGGACGGGUGAGUAAUGUCUGGGAAACUGCCUGAUGGAGGGGGAUAACUACUGGAAACGGUGGCUAAUACCGCAUAACGUCGCAAGACCAAAGAGGGGGACCUUCGGGCCUCUUGCCAUCAGAUGUGCCCAGAUGGGAUUAGCUUGUUGGUGAGGUAACGGCUCACCAAGGCGACGAUCCCUAGCUGGUCUGAGAGGAUGACCAGCCACACUGGAACUGAGACACGGUCCAGACUCCUACGGGAGGCAGCAGUGGGGAAUAUUGCACAAUGGGCGCAAGCCUGAUGCAGCCAUGCCGCGUGUAUGAAGAAGGCCUUCGGGUUGUAAAGUACUUUCAGCGGGGAGGAAGGUGUUGUGGUUAAUAACCGCAGCAAUUGACGUUACCCGCAGAAGAAGCACCGGCUAACUCCGUGCCAGCAGCCGCGGUAAUACGGAGGGUGCAAGCGUUAAUCGGAAUUACUGGGCGUAAAGCGCACGCAGGCGGUCUGUCAAGUCGGAUGUGAAAUCCCCGGGCUCAACCUGGGAACUGCAUUCGAAACUGGCAGGCUUGAGUCUUGUAGAGGGGGGUAGAAUUCCAGGUGUAGCGGUGAAAUGCGUAGAGAUCUGGAGGAAUACCGGUGGCGAAGGCGGCCCCCUGGACAAAGACUGACGCUCAGGUGCGAAAGCGUGGGGAGCAAACAGGAUUAGAUACCCUGGUAGUCCACGCCGUAAACGAUGUCUACUUGGAGGUUGUGCCCUUGAGGCGUGGCUUCCGGAGCUAACGCGUUAAGUAGACCGCCUGGGGAGUACGGCCGCAAGGUUAAAACUCAAAUGAAUUGACGGGGGCCCGCACAAGCGGUGGAGCAUGUGGUUUAAUUCGAUGCAACGCGAAGAACCUUACCUGGUCUUGACAUCCACGGAAGUUUUCAGAGAUGAGAAUGGUGCCUUCGGGAACCGUGAGACAGGUGCUGCAUGGCUGUCGUCAGCUCGUGUUGUGAAAUGUUGGGUUAAGUCCCGCAACGAGCGCAACCCUUAUCCUUUGUUGCCAGCGAUUAGGUCGGGAACUCAAAGGAGACUGCCAGUGAUAAACUGGAGGAAGGUGGGGAUGACGUCAAGUCAUCAUGGCCCUUACGACCAGGGCUACACACGUGCUACAAUGGCGCAUACAAAGAGAAGCGACCUCGCGAGAGCAAGCGGACCUCAUAAAGUGCGUCGUAGUCCGGAUUGGAGUCUGCAACUCGACUCCAUGAAGUCGGAAUCGCUAGUAAUCGUGGAUCAGAAUGCCACGGUGAAUACGUUCCCGGGCCUUGUACACACCGCCCGUCACACCAUGGGAGUGGGUUGCAAAAGAAGUAGGUAGCUUAACCUUCGGGAGGGCGCUUACCACUUUGUGAUUCAUGACUGGGGUGAAGUCGUAACAAGGUAACCGUAGGGGAACCUGCGGUUGGAUCACCUCCUUACCUU